This 81-nucleotide transfer RNA is filed under the name Diabrotica virgifera virgifera (western corn rootworm). RNAcentral describes it as "transfer RNA leucine (anticodon UAG)". It matches the Rfam family "tRNA". From Rfam's summary of the family: Transfer RNA (tRNA) molecules are approximately 80 nucleotides in length. Their secondary structure includes four short double-helical elements and three loops (D, anti-codon, and T loops). The record is from RNAcentral. Lineage: Eukaryota; Metazoa; Arthropoda; Insecta; Coleoptera; Chrysomelidae.
GGCAGCGUGGCCGAGCGGUCUAAGGCGCUGGUUUUAGGUACCAGUCCGAAAGGGCGUGGGUUCGAAUCCCACCACUGGUCA